Molecule: signal recognition particle RNA, 97 nt
Filed under: Mariprofundales bacterium
Lineage: Bacteria; Pseudomonadati; Pseudomonadota; Candidatius Mariprofundia; Mariprofundales
Description: signal recognition particle sRNA small type
Rfam family: Bacterial small signal recognition particle RNA
About the family: The signal recognition particle (SRP) is a universally conserved ribonucleoprotein involved in the co-translational targeting of proteins to membranes. Archaeal SRP consists of a 7S RNA and homologues of the eukaryotic SRP19 and SRP54 proteins. In most bacteria, the SRP consists of a 4.5S RNA and the Ffh protein (a homologue of the eukaryotic SRP54 protein).
Source: RNAcentral
GACUGGGCUCCGCACGGCUGCUAUCUGUGAACCCCGUCAGGUCCGGAAGGAAGCAGCGGCAGCGGAGUGGUGGCGCGUUGCGGCUUCGUCCAGUUCG